RNAcentral lists this ribosomal RNA (445 nucleotides) under uncultured bacterium. Its description in RNAcentral is "partial 16S ribosomal RNA". It matches the Rfam family "Bacterial small subunit ribosomal RNA", at positions 354 to 796 of the family's 1533-position model. The record is from RNAcentral.
GUAGGGAAUAUUGGACAAUGGGCGAAAGCCUGAUCCAGCCAUGCCGCGUGAUAGAUGAAGGCCCUCUGGGUUGUAAAUAUCUUUUAUCUGGGAAGAAACUCCUCUAUUCUUAGAGGCCUGACGGUACCAGAGGAAUAAGCACCGGCUAACUCCGUGCCAGCAGCCGCGGUAAUACGGAGGGUGCAAGCGUUAUCCGGAUUCACUGGGUUUAAAGGGUGCGUAGGCGGGUUGAUAAGUCAGUGGUGAAAGCUCCGGGCUUAACUUGGAAACUGCCAUUGAUACUGUCAAUCUUGAAUGUCGUAGAGGUAAGCGGAAUGUUGCAUGUAGCGGUGAAAUGCUUAGAUAUGUUACAGAACACCAAUUGCGAAGGCAGCUUACUAUGCGAUAAUUGACGCUGAGGCACGAAAGCGUGGGGAGCAAACAGGAUUAGAAACCCCGGUAGUCC